Molecule: ribosomal RNA, 813 nt
Filed under: Atelopus varius
Lineage: Eukaryota; Metazoa; Chordata; Amphibia; Anura; Bufonidae
Description: partial 12S ribosomal RNA
Rfam family: Bacterial small subunit ribosomal RNA
Source: RNAcentral
GAUGGACCCUAAAAAGUCCUAUAAACAUAAAGGUUUGGUCCUGACCUUGAAGUCAAUUAUUACUUAAUAUACACAUGCAAGUCUCCGCCCACCCGUGAAAACGCCCUUAAACCCCUCCUAGGGACAAGGAGCUGGUAUCAGGCACGAAAAUCUGCCCNAAACACCUAGCUUUGCCACACCCACAAGGGAAUUCAGCAGUGAUUAACAUUGAAUAUUAGCACAAGCUUGAUUCAGUUAAAGUAAUCUAGGCNGGCUAAUCUGGUGCCAGCCGCCGCGGUUACACCAUGUGGCCCAAAUUGUCUUCUAUCNNNGUAAAGCGUGAUUAAAGCUAAUAUUACUAUAGAGUUGAACUAAAACUAAGCUGUGACACGCCUACUUCUAAGAAAACCUAAUACGAAAGUUACUCUAGCCUAAUCAACUUGAAUUCACGACAGCCGGGGAACAAACUGGGAUUAGAUACCCCACUAUGCCCGGCCGUAACCUUUAAAUUACAUUCGAAUUCCGAGGGAACUACGAGCUAAGCUUAAAACCCAAAGGACUUGACGGUACCCCAUAUCCCCCUAGAGGAGCCUGUCCUAUAAUCGAUAAUCCACGAUUGACCUCACCAUUUUCUAGCUAAUCAGCUUGUAUACCUCCGUCGUCAGCUUACCACGUGAGCGCUUAACUUAGUGAGCUUAAUGUUAAUUCACCAACACGUCAGGUCAAGGUGCAGCAUAUGUAAUGGAAAGAGAUGGGCUACAUUUUCUAUUUUAGAACACACGAAAAACUAAAUAUGUAAUCUAGUUGGAAGGCGGAUCUAGUAGUAAAAAGGAA